Molecule: non-coding RNA, 123 nt
Organism: Triticum aestivum (bread wheat)
Lineage: Eukaryota; Viridiplantae; Streptophyta; Magnoliopsida; Poales; Poaceae
Source: Rfam
CUACUACUCCCUCUGUCCGAAAAUACUUGUCAUUGAAAUGGAUGUAUCUAGAUGUAUUUUAGUUCUAGACACAUCCAUUUUGAUGACAACUUGACAAGUAAUUCCGGAUGGAGGGAGUAUUAU